This 1464-nucleotide ribosomal RNA is filed under the name Staphylococcus aureus. Its description in RNAcentral is "partial 16S ribosomal RNA". It matches the Rfam family "Bacterial small subunit ribosomal RNA". The record is from RNAcentral. Lineage: Bacteria; Bacillati; Bacillota; Bacilli; Caryophanales; Staphylococcaceae.
CUAUAAUGCAGUCGAGCGACGGACGAGAAGCUUGCUUCUCUGAUGUUAGCGGCGGACGGGUGAGUAACACGUGGAUAACCUACCUAUAAGACUGGGAUAACUUCGGGAAACCGGAGCUAAUACCGGAUAAUAUUUUGAACCGCAUGGUUCAAAAGUGAAAGACGGUCUUGCUGUCACUUAUAGAUGGAUCCGCGCUGCAUUAGCUAGUUGGUAAGGUAACGGCUUACCAAGGCAACGAUGCAUAGCCGACCUGAGAGGGUGAUCGGCCACACUGGAACUGAGACACGGUCCAGACUCCUACGGGAGGCAGCAGUAGGGAAUCUUCCGCAAUGGGCGAAAGCCUGACGGAGCAACGCCGCGUGAGUGAUGAAGGUCUUCGGAUCGUAAAACUCUGUUAUUAGGGAAGAACAUAUGUGUAAGUAACUGUGCACAUCUUGACGGUACCUAAUCAGAAAGCCACGGCUAACUACGUGCCAGCAGCCGCGGUAAUACGUAGGUGGCAAGCGUUAUCCGGGAAUUAUUGGGCGUAAAGCGCGCGUAGGCGGUUUUUUAAGUCUGAUGUGAAAGCCCACGGCUCAACCGUGGAGGGUCAUUGGAAACUGGAAAACUUGAGUGCAGAAGAGGAAAGUGGAAUUCCAUGUGUAGCGGUGAAAUGCGCAGAGAUAUGGAGGAACACCAGUGGCGAAGGCGACUUUCUGGUCUGUAACUGACGCUGAUGUGCGAAAGCGUGGGGAUCAAACAGGAUUAGAUACCCUGGUAGUCCACGCCGUAAACGAUGAGUGCUAAGUGUUAGGGGGUUUCCGCCCCUUAGUGCUGCAGCUAACGCAUUAAGCACUCCGCCUGGGGAGUACGACCGCAAGGUUGAAACUCAAAGGAAUUGACGGGGACCCGCACAAGCGGUGGAGCAUGUGGUUUAAUUCGAAGCAACGCGAAGAACCUUACCAAAUCUUGACAUCCUUUGACAACUCUAGAGAUAGAGCCUUCCCCUUCGGGGGACAAAGUGACAGGUGGUGCAUGGUUGUCGUCAGCUCGUGUCGUGAGAUGUUGGGUUAAGUCCCGCAACGAGCGCAACCCUUAAGCUUAGUUGCCAUCAUUAAGUUGGGCACUCUAAGUUGACUGCCGGUGACAAACCGGAGGAAGGUGGGGAUGACGUCAAAUCAUCAUGCCCCUUAUGAUUUGGGCUACACACGUGCUACAAUGGACAAUACAAAGGGCAGCGAAACCGCGAGGUCAAGCAAAUCCCAUAAAGUUGUUCUCAGUUCGGAUUGUAGUCUGCAACUCGACUACAUGAAGCUGGAAUCGCUAGUAAUCGUAGAUCAGCAUGCUACGGUGAAUACGUUCCCGGGUCUUGUACACACCGCCCGUCACACCACGAGAGUUUGUAACACCCGAAGCCGGUGGAGUAACCUUUUAGGAGCUAGCCGUCGAAGGUGGGACAAAUGAUUGGGGUGAAGUCGUAAAAGG